UACGUAGGUGACAAGCGUUGUCCGGAUUUACUGGGCGUAAAGAGCGCGCAGGCGGUCGAUCAAGUCGAGUGUGAAAGCCCCCGGCUCAACUGGGGAGGGUCAUUCGAUACUGAUCUACUCGAAGGCAGGAGAGGGUAGUGGAAUUCCCGGUGUAGUGGUGAAAUGCGUAGAUAUCGGGAGGAACACCAGUGGCGAAGGCGACUACCUGGCCCAUUCUUGACGCUGAGGCGCGAAAGCUAGGGGAGCGAACGGG
This 253-nucleotide ribosomal RNA is filed under the name uncultured bacterium. RNAcentral describes it as "partial 16S ribosomal RNA". It matches the Rfam family "Bacterial small subunit ribosomal RNA", at positions 524 to 776 of the family's 1533-position model. The record is from RNAcentral.